CACGUAGGGCGCAAGCGUUGUCCGGAUUAUUGGGCGUAAAGAGCUCGUAGGCGGUCUGUUGCGUCCGCUGUGAAAACUCGGGGCUUAACCCCGAGCCUGCAGUGGAUACGGGCAGACUAGAGGUAGGUAGGGGAGAAUGGAAUUCCCGGUGUAGCGGUGAAAUGCGCAGAUAUCGGGAGGAACACCGGUGGCGAAGGCGGCGACCUGGGUAGAUACUGACGCUGAGGUGCGAAAGCGUGGGGAGCAAACAGG
This 252-nucleotide ribosomal RNA is filed under the name uncultured bacterium. RNAcentral describes it as "partial 16S ribosomal RNA". It matches the Rfam family "Bacterial small subunit ribosomal RNA", at positions 524 to 776 of the family's 1533-position model. The record is from RNAcentral.